GUGACUUGACGGCGGACUGGAAGUCGUUUAUUCUGCCGUCUGCUGCAGCAAGUUAGCUAAAUUAACCUUAAAACUCAUUCGUACUUGCGUUUUUGAGUAUUACGUAACGUAGUGUGUUGAGUUGAAGCUUUGCUUCUGUUCAGAGUUAUUGAUUCACCUGCUCUUCAGCUGGGAACUCGACAAACUUUGAAAUACCCUCUGCAGCAGCUUUAAGAGUACAAAGCAUGGAAAAAGCCUCCAGUUAAAUGAGCACAAGUAGAUAGACUCCUCUGAUGUUCUAACCUUGGAUAAAUCUGUAAGAAGAGCCCAGCAGAGGACAAAGGCACGGCUUAUCAUCUUCAUCGUUGUUCAGAACCGAUUAGCGCUGAGGUCUGAAGCAGAAGAGGGAGAGAGGCUGGAGAAGGAUGGAGUGAUCGGAAACGCAGCAGAGUGCAGAAGCUGUGGGGCUCCAUGCGGCCAUGACCACGGGAGUCUGGAAAGCACCUUGGAGUGCUGUACAGCCGAUCUGGUUCCAAUUCUCUGACUCUUCAUAUCAAGUGCUUUAAAAGAGGUCUAAACACUAAGGUCAUUUUCUGUGGAUACAAGAGGCAUGCAGCAGUGAUAAAAGCCACCAUAUGUACCUAGCCACUCACUUCAGGAGGUAAACCAAGUGGCGUCAACGCGCCGCCGUAAAAUCAAGUUAAACUGUGAAGCGGUGAGAAAAAUAAAAACAUCGAUGCCGACUGUGAGGCUCGGGGAUCAGAGAGUCCACCGAGUCCUCUGCUGGCUGUCAGCAGAGCAGCCUUCGCUCCAUCAUCUCCGUGGGAAACGGCGGCGCAUCACGCGAGAUCCGCCACACAUAGGUUAGACGAGCAGAGCCGGGGAGGAACAAAGAUGCUGCCUGCUGUUCUUGGGUCGGAACAAACUGAACUUGAUGUGAUCAUUUCAGCAGCGGGAGCUCUGGAGCGUGCAGAUUUGAUUCUUCUGCCAAAUUGUUCACAGGCUGCAGGAGGAUUUCAGGAUAGCAAAGUGUACUGGUCGGGAUUAUCCUGACUUAAAUUGCGAUGUAAAACUGAGACAAACUCUUUGCUUUUCUAUUUCAUAAAGCUGCCAAAGUGGGGUCAUUUUACUAGAAAUGUAAACUGCUUAAGGGAAACUCCCUCAUAGCAAGAAGGUCCAGAGUUUAAAUCUUUCUGUUAAACUAUUUAACCUUAAAAACAAGCCAUAGUUCUUACCAACGACGCUGCAGCAGCAACGAAAGCUACUGAUCCGAAGCUUCUCUAGUUUUAACGCGAGUGUUGUGGUUUUCAACCAGGUUGUAAGAUGUUAUGUGGGAAAAGAUUAGAGCGUGAAGUGAUUGAAGUCUUUAGCCGGCCCCCUGCUGUCUGCAUGCAAACGCUGAGAAUGUUGUGUGCGUACAGCAUCAUGACUGCAGACGCCGCAUUGCUCUGGGACGUGUGUACGAUACAGCGUCAUUAGCAUGAAAGUUCAUGUGGACAUCAGAAUAAAUAUGUUCUCAGGUUAUGAGGUAGAAAAUGAAUAACACUGGUCCAAGUACAGAGCCUUAUUUAACUCAAUGUUUCAAUGCUUUUUAAGCUAAGGAGUAAUAUCUCCGUCUAAGUAGAUUUCUAGAGCAGUUCAAGGUCUGAAUGUGUUUGUAUUUAGUGCCAAUUUAGAUGUUGUUUAAAAUAAUAUUAA
Poecilia reticulata (guppy) is the source of this 1677-nucleotide long non-coding RNA. RefSeq lists it as uncharacterized. NCBI's taxonomy places the organism in Eukaryota, Metazoa, Chordata, Actinopteri, Cyprinodontiformes, Poeciliidae. The record is from RefSeq and is a predicted model, not a curated record.